GCUGGCGGCAUGCCUAACACAUGCAAGUCGAACGAGAAGCAACUUCGGUUGUGGAGAGUGGCGCACGGGUGAGUAAUACAUGGAAAUAUACCUUUCACUGGGGGAUAACAGUUGGAAACGACUGCUAAUACCGCAUACGCCAUAUUGGGAAACCUACGGGGGUGAAAGAUGAGUCCAUGCUAGAUUAGCUAGUUGGUAGGGUAAAGGCCUACCAAGGCAACGAUCUAUAGCGGGUUUGAGAGGAUGAUC
Molecule: ribosomal RNA, 249 nt
Filed under: uncultured bacterium
Lineage: Bacteria
Description: partial 16S ribosomal RNA
Rfam family: Bacterial small subunit ribosomal RNA
Source: RNAcentral